This 832-nucleotide ribosomal RNA is filed under the name uncultured marine bacterium. Its description in RNAcentral is "bacterial SSU rRNA". It matches the Rfam family "Bacterial small subunit ribosomal RNA", at positions 59 to 896 of the family's 1533-position model. The record is from RNAcentral.
AAGUCGAGCGAAGCUUUUCAGUAGUUUACUACAGAAAAUGACUGAGCGGCGAACGGGUGAGUAACGCGUGAGCAAUCUACCUUAGUUACAGGGAUAGCCCGAGGAAACUCGGAUUAAUACCUGAUAUUCUUUAUUUCUCGCAUGAGAAUAAAAGGAAAGGUCAGCCGAACUAAGAUGAGCCCGCGUUCUAUCAGCUAGUUGGUGAGGUAAAAGCUUACCAAGGCUACGACGGAUAGCUGGUCUGAGAGGACGAUCAGCCACACUGGGACUGAGACACGGCCCAGACUCCUACGGGAGGCUGCAGCAGGGAAUAUUGUGCAAUGAACGAAAGUUUGACACAGCGACACCGCGUGUGGGAUGACGGAUCUAGGUUUGUAAACCACUUUCAGGAGGGAAGAAAAUGACGGUACCUCCACAAGAAGCCCCGGCCAACUACGUGCCAGCAGCCGCGGUAAUACGUAGGGGGUGAGCGUUGUCCGGAUUUAUUGGGCGUAAAGAGCUCGUAGGCGGUUCAACAAGUCGGUCGUGAAAGUUCAGGGCUCAACCCUGAAAUGUCGAUCGAUACUGUUGUGACUAGGAUACGGUAGAGGUGAGUGGAAUUCCGAGUGUAGCGGUGAAAUGCGUAGAUAUUCGGAGGAACACCAAUUGCGAAGGCAGCUCACUGGGCCGCUAUCGACGCUGAGGAGCGAAAGCUAGGGGAGCAAACAGGAUUAGAUACCCUGGUAGUCCUAGCUGUAAACGAUGGAUACUAGAUGUAGGAACUGGAUUGACGGUUUCUGUAUCGCAGCUAACGCGUUAAGUAUCCCGCCUGGGGAGUACGGUCGCAAGACUA